CAGUAGUCACGAGUUUGAUCAUGGCUACAGAUUGAACGCUGGCGGCAUGGCUAAAACAUGCAAGUCGAACGAUCCCUUCGGGGAGAGUGGCGAAAGGGCGAGGAAUAGAAUCGAAUGUACCCCAAGGUGGGGGAUAGCCUCUGGAAACGGAGGGUAAUACCCCAUGUGCUCUACGGAGGAAAGGUUUACCGCCUUGGGAGCAGCGAUUCUCCUAUCAGGUACGUUGGUGAGGUAACGGCUCACCAAGCCGAAGACGGGUANCGGGUGUGAGAGCAUGACCCGCCGCAUCGGGACUGAGACACUGCCCGGACUCCUACGGGAGGCUGCAGUAACGAAUCUUCCGCAAUGGGCGAAAAGCCUGACGGAGCAAUGCCGCGUGUGGGAUGAAGCAUCUUCGAUGUGUAAACCACUGUCAGGGUCUAGGAAUACUGACCAGACCCAAAGGAAGGGCCGGCUAAUUCCGUG
This 465-nucleotide ribosomal RNA is filed under the name uncultured bacterium. RNAcentral's name for it is "bacterial SSU rRNA". It matches the Rfam family "Bacterial small subunit ribosomal RNA", at positions 1 to 507 of the family's 1533-position model. The record is from RNAcentral.